UUUGUCGCUCGCUUCUACCUGUUUACACGCUUAAUUUUUUUCUUUUUUUACGUACUACUGUUUUUUUCACAAGUAGUAUCCACAGUUUUUAUAUUAUAAUUGGAAUUUAUCGAAGGUUAUAGACUUUAUCACAACCUGUUUUCUUGGCUUGUCAUGAGACGACAAAAUUAAGAAAAGAAGUAUAACUCCAUGCUACAAACAAUUGUCUUCUUAAUGAACACCCUUAUGGAAUUUGAUGCUAAACAUUGCAGACUGUAGUAAGACUAUAUUCAAAUCAGGAAGAGCUGAGAAAUUGUAUAUGGAAAUCCAAAAACGUCUCCACUUGGAUCAACAAAAUUUGAAAUGGGAAAAGUCAGUUCAUGACAUUUUAGAAGUAUGUGGUCAUGAUGAAUAUAGUAUCAUUGGUGAGUUGUACUACCAUAAGAUAAAAAAUAUUUCACACAGAUGUUCUAAGGAACGUAAUCUUUCAAUGGAUGACAAAUAUUUGAACUUAUUUUCGUUCGGCGAUUAAUUGUAUUUGAGAUCAAU
Myzus persicae (green peach aphid) is the source of this 528-nucleotide RNA transcript. RefSeq lists it as uncharacterized. Lineage: Eukaryota; Metazoa; Arthropoda; Insecta; Hemiptera; Aphididae. The record is from RefSeq and is a predicted model, not a curated record. The transcript has 4 exons.